This is a long non-coding RNA of Gallus gallus (chicken), 761 nucleotides long. The record is from Ensembl. Lineage: Eukaryota; Metazoa; Chordata; Aves; Galliformes; Phasianidae.
UGGACCUGGAGGUGUUGAUUGACGCUAGACUGAACAUGAGCCAGCAGUGUGCGCAGGUGGCCAAGAAGGCCAAUGGCAUCCUGGCUUGUAUCAGAAACAGUGUGGUCAGCAGGAACAGGGAAGUAAUUGUCCCCCUGUACUCAGAACUGGUGAGGCCGCACCUGGAGUACUGUGUCCAGUUUUGGGCCCCUCACUGUAAGAAAGACAUCGAGGCCCUGGAGCGUGUCCAGAGGAGGGCAACAAAGCUGGUGAGGGGUCUGGAGCACAGGCUUUAUGAAGAGCGGCUGAAGGACCUGGGAUUUUUCAGUCUAAAGAAGAGGAGGCUCAGAGGAGACGUUAUUGCUCUCUAUAACUACCUGAAGGGAGGUUGUAGUGAGCUGGGGGUCAGCCUCUUCUCUCAGGUGACUAGUGAUAGGACUAGAGGGAAUGGCUUCAAGCUGCACCAGGGAAGAUUCAGGCUGGAUAUUAGGAAAUACUACUUCUCUGAAGGGGUGGUCAGGCACUGGAAUGGGCUGCCCAGGGAGGUGGUGGAGUCACUGAGCCUGGUGGUGUUGAAAGAGUGUUUGGAUGUUGUGUUGAGGGACAUGGUUUAGUAAGAACCAUUGGUGAUGGGUGAAUGGUUGGACUGGGUGAUCCUGUGGGUCUUUUCCAACCUUGGUGAUUCUAUGAUUCUAUGAUUCUAAAUGUAGUCUUCGAAGUGUAACUUGAGCUAUGGUCAGCAUCCAUUCCAGUUAAGCUUUUGCAUUAAUUUUAUUGUAUUU